RNAcentral lists this ribosomal RNA (504 nucleotides) under uncultured bacterium. RNAcentral describes it as "partial 16S ribosomal RNA". It matches the Rfam family "Bacterial small subunit ribosomal RNA", at positions 30 to 523 of the family's 1533-position model. The record is from RNAcentral.
AUUGAACGCUGGCGGCAGGCGUAACACAUGCAAGUCGAACGGUAGCACAGAGAGCUUGCUCUCGGGUGACGAGUGGCGGACGGGUGAGUAAUGUCUGGGAAACUGCCUGAUGGAGGGGGAUAACUACUGGAAACGGUAGCUAAUACCGCAUAAUGUCGCAAGACCAAAGAGGGGGACCUUCGGGCCUCUUGCCAUCGGAUGUGCCCAGAUGGGAUUAGCUAGUAGGUGGGGUAAUGGCUCACCUAGGCGACGAUCCCUAGCUGGUCUGAGAGGAUGACCAGCCACACUUGAACUAGGACACGGUCCGGACUCCUACGGGAGGCAGCAGUGGGGAAUAUUGCACAAUGGGCGCAAGCCUGAUGCAGCCAAGCCGCGAGUAUGAAGAAGGCCAUCGGGUUGUAAAGUACUUUCAGCGAGGAGGAAGGCAUUGUGGUUAAUAACCGCAGUGAUUGACGUUACUCGCAGAAGAAGCACCUGCUAACUCCGUGCCAGCAGCCGCAGUAA